RNAcentral lists this unclassified non-coding RNA (395 nucleotides) under soil metagenome. RNAcentral's name for it is "partial contains 5.8S ribosomal RNA, internal transcribed spacer 2, and large subunit ribosomal RNA". The stretch from base 1 to 122 matches the Rfam family "5.8S ribosomal RNA", at positions 35 to 154 of the family's 154-position model. The record is from RNAcentral.
GAUGAAGAACGUAGUGAAAUGCGAUACUUGGUGUGAAUUGCAGAAUCCCGUGAACCAUCGAGUUUUUGAACGCAAGUUGCGCCCGAAGCCGUUAGGCCGAGGGCACGCCUGCCUGGGUGUCACAUAUCGUUGCCCAAUGCCUAUUGCAGUGCAAUAGGAAUUUCUAGGGCGAAUGAUGGCUUCCCGUGAGCUUUGUUGCCUCGCGGUUGGUUGAAAAUCGAGUCCUUGGUAGGGUGUGCCAUGGUAGAUGGUGGUCGAGUUAGAACGAUACCGAUCAUGUGCAUGCUCCCCAAAAUAUGGCCUCUAUGACCCACACGCGUCUUUUGACGCUCAUGACGAGACCUCAGGUCAGGCGGGGCUACCCGCUGAAUUUAAGCAUAUCAAUAAGCGGAGGA